GCUAUUAUGUUUUUUUUGGUGCUACCCAUUUAUUUUUUCUGAAACUUAUGUUUUUCUUAGUGUUCAUUCAUAGACGUCAUUGAAGUACAACUUGGUAAACUACAAAACACAUCAAAUUCAGUUAUAAAAAUUUGAGUAACAAAGGUAUACUAACUAUUGUAUUUCCUGAAAGAGUGUCAUUGCUAUUAAAAGCAGUGAAGAAUUCAAAUACUCUGGAAGAAAAGAAAAUACGUCAAUUAUUUGGCACAAAUCGGAGUUAAAGACAAAGGAGAUUGUAUAUUUUAUUUGCUAAGAAUAGUUUUU
Non-coding RNA from Hydra vulgaris (swiftwater hydra), 303 nucleotides. NCBI's taxonomy places the organism in Eukaryota, Metazoa, Cnidaria, Hydrozoa, Anthoathecata, Hydridae. The record is from RefSeq and is a predicted model, not a curated record.